This 464-nucleotide ribosomal RNA is filed under the name uncultured bacterium. RNAcentral describes it as "partial 16S ribosomal RNA". It matches the Rfam family "Bacterial small subunit ribosomal RNA", at positions 29 to 507 of the family's 1533-position model. The record is from RNAcentral.
ACGAACGCUGGCGGCGUGCUUAACACAUGCAAGUCGAACGGAAAGGCCCCUUUGGGGGUACUCGAGUGGCGAACGGGUGAGUAACACGUGAGUUACCUGCCCUUGACUUCGGGAUAACUUCAGGAAACUGGGGCUAAUACCGGAUAGGAAUCCUUGCUGCAUGGUGGGGGUUGGAAAGCUUCGGCGGUUUUGGAUGGACUCGCGGCUUAUCAGCUUGUUGGUGGGGUAGUGGCUUACCAAGGCUUUGACGGGUAGCCGGCCUGAGAGGGCGACCGGCCACAUUGGGACUGAGAUACGGCCCAGACUCCUACGGGAGGCAGCAGUGGGGAAUAUUGCACAAUGGGCGGAAGCCUGAUGCAGCAACGCCGCGUGCGGGAUGACGGCCUUCGGGUUGUAAACCGCUUUCAGCAGGGGCGAAGCUUGUGGUGACGGUACCUGCAGAAGAAGCACCGGCUAACUACGUG